UUCGAUUCGUCAAAAAUUGAAGAGCUAAGAGGGAAUUCGGUAACUAAUAAAUCAAGCCGAAGCUGCCCCCGCAACUGUAAUUGGUAAGUUUGGGUCAAAAAGCCACUGGGGUUUCCCCGGGAAGGCGACCUUAAUGCAAAAGCCAUAAGCCAGGAGACCUGCCUUGAAUGGAA
This 173-nucleotide non-coding RNA is filed under the name uncultured Bartonella sp. The record is from RNAcentral. Lineage: Bacteria; Pseudomonadati; Pseudomonadota; Alphaproteobacteria; Hyphomicrobiales; Bartonellaceae.